UAUUCCCCUAGUAACUGCGAGUGAAGCGGGAAAAGCUCAAAUUUAAAAUCUGGCGGUUAUGCCGUCCGAGUUGUAAUCUGGAGAAGCGUUUUCCGUGUUGGACCGUGUACAAGUCUCUUGGAACAGAGCGUCAUAGAGGGUGAGAAUCCCGUCUUUGACACGGACUACCAAUGCUUUGUGAUACGCUCUCAAAGAGUCGAGUUGUUUGGGAAUGCAGCUCAAAAUGGGUGGUAAAUGCCAUCUAAAGCUAAAUAUUGGCGAGAGACCGAUAGCGAACAAGUACCGUGAGGGAAAGAUGAAAAGCACUUUGGAAAGAGAGUUAAACAGUACGUGAAAUUGUUGAAAGGGAAACGCUUGAAGUCAGUCGCGUUGUCUGGGACUCAGCCUUGCUUCUGCAUGGUGUAUUUCCUGGUUAACGGGCCAACAUCGAUUUUGGUCGGUGGAUAAAGUCGAGAGGAAUGUGGCACCUUCGGGUGUGUUAUAGCCUCUUGUCGGAUGCAUCGACUGGGAUCGAGGAUCGCAGCACGCCUUUUUGGCCGGGGUUCGCCCACGUAACGUGCUUAGGAUGUUGGCAUAAUGGCUUUAAUCGACCCGUCUUGAAACACGGACCAAGGAGUCUAACAUGCCCGCGAGUGUUAGGGUGGAAAACCCUUGCGCGUAAUGAAAGUGAAAGUUGGGACCUCUGUCAUGGGGGGCACCGACGCCCGGCCUUGAACUUCUGUGACGGCGCCGCGGUAGAGCGUGUAUGUUGGGACCCGAAAGAUGGUGAACUAUGCCUGAAUAGGGCGAAGCCAGAGGAAACUCUGGUGGAGGCUCGUAGCGAUUCUGACGUGCAAAUCGAUCGUCAAAUUUGGGUAUAGGGGCGAAAGACUAAU
This 875-nucleotide ribosomal RNA is filed under the name Rickenella fibula. RNAcentral describes it as "LSU rRNA". It matches the Rfam family "Eukaryotic large subunit ribosomal RNA", at positions 73 to 935 of the family's 3401-position model. The record is from RNAcentral. Lineage: Eukaryota; Fungi; Basidiomycota; Agaricomycetes; Hymenochaetales; Rickenellaceae.